RNAcentral lists this unclassified non-coding RNA (285 nucleotides) under fungal sp. RNAcentral describes it as "partial internal transcribed spacer region". The stretch from base 1 to 46 matches the Rfam family "Eukaryotic small subunit ribosomal RNA", at positions 1786 to 1831 of the family's 1831-position model. Lineage: Eukaryota; Fungi. The record is from RNAcentral.
AAGUCGUAACAAGGUUUCCGUAGGUGAACCUGCGGAAGGAUCAUUAACAAAUCAUUUUGUGCAGUCGGUUGGUGUCAAAGCCAGCCUGACCACACAUAUUAACCCUAACCUGUGCAGCAAUGCCAGGCUAGGUGUGGGCCAAUGUAAUGUUGGCUCGCGGUGACGGAUUGAGGGAGUCCUUGUGACUCUCCCAAUCUCGAUCCACAUAGACGCUUUUUUUGUUUGACAGUAUUAGUUGAUACACUUUAAAAAUGACAACUUUUAACAAUGGAUCUCUUGGCUCUU